UACGAAGGGGGCUAGCGUUGCUCGGAAUCACUGGGCGUAAAGCGCACGUAGGCGGCUUUCUAAGUCAGGGGUGAAAUCCUGGAGCUCAACUCCAGAACUGCCUUUGAUACUGGAAAGCUUGAGUACGGGAGAGGUGAGUGGAACUGCGAGUGUAGAGGUGAAAUUCGUAGAUAUUCGCAAGAACACCAGUGGCGAAGGCGGCUCACUGGCCCGAUACUGACGCUGAGGUGCGAAAGCGUGGGGAGCAAACAGG
RNAcentral lists this ribosomal RNA (253 nucleotides) under uncultured bacterium. RNAcentral describes it as "partial 16S ribosomal RNA". It matches the Rfam family "Bacterial small subunit ribosomal RNA", at positions 524 to 776 of the family's 1533-position model. The record is from RNAcentral.